CUUGGGAGGUGGAGGAGGGCAUCAGCACGCAAGCCAUUCACAUAGCGGCCAUGCCGUUAUAGCUCCUCCUUCCCCGUCCAGCCAAGGAGGCCACGGAGGUGGGGGGUUUUCAGGCUCUAUCACACCUCCACCUUCACCAAAAGGAAAAGGAAAAGCUCCACCGAAAAGCAAACAAGGAGGCGGGGGUUCUAUUUCACCCCCUCCAUCACCUAAAGGAGGCGGGGGACAGGGCCAUACAACGAAAUGAUAA
Molecule: long non-coding RNA, 250 nt
Organism: Saccostrea cuccullata (small rock oyster)
Lineage: Eukaryota; Metazoa; Mollusca; Bivalvia; Ostreida; Ostreidae
Exons: 3
Source: RefSeq, a predicted model, not a curated record